Molecule: ribosomal RNA, 468 nt
Filed under: uncultured bacterium
Lineage: Bacteria
Description: bacterial SSU rRNA
Rfam family: Bacterial small subunit ribosomal RNA
Source: RNAcentral
AGUUUGAUCAUGGCUCAGAACGAACGCUGGCGGCAUGCUUAACACAUGCAAGUCGAACGGGGUGUGAUUACUUUGUGAUUGCACUUAGGUGGCAGACGGGUGAGUAACGCGUGGGAACGUACCUUCAAGUCUUGGAUAACUAUUGGAAACGAUGGCUAAUACGGGAUGUGACCGAGAGGUUAAAGGUUUACUGCUUGAAGAGCGGCCCGCGUUAGAUUAGGUAGUUGGUGUGGUAAAGGCGCACCAAGCCGAUGAUCUAUAGCUGGUCUGAGAGGAUGAUCAGCCACACUGGGACUGAGACACCGGCCCAGACUCCUACGGGGAGGCAGCAGGUGGGGAAUAUUGGACAAUGGGGGCAACCCUGAUCCAGCAAUGCCGCGUGAAUGAAGAAGGCCUUAGGGUUGUAAAGUUCUUUUGUUAGAGAAGAUAAUGACGUUAUUUAACGAAUAAGCACCGGCUAACUUCGUG